Molecule: ribosomal RNA, 253 nt
Filed under: uncultured bacterium
Lineage: Bacteria
Description: partial 16S ribosomal RNA
Rfam family: Bacterial small subunit ribosomal RNA
Source: RNAcentral
UACAGAGGGUGCGAGCGUUAAUCGGAAUUACUGGGCGUAAAGCGUGCGUAGACGGUUAUGUAAGUUAGGUGUGAAAGCCCCGGGCUCAACCUGGGAAUUGCAUUUAAGACUGCAUAGCUAGGGUGCGGAAGAGGGAAGCGGAAUUUCCGGUGUAGCGGUGAAAUGCGUAGAUAUCCGGAGGAACACCGGUGGCGAAGGCGGCUUCCUGGACCGACACUGACGCUGAGGCGCGAAAGCUAGGGGAGCAAACGGG